UACAGAGGUGGCAAGCGUUGUUCGGAAUUACUGGGCGUAAAGGGCGCGUAGGCGGCCUACUAAGUCAGACGUGAAAUCCCCCGGCUUAACCUGGGAACUGCGUCUGAUACUGGAAGGCUUGAGGAUGGGAGAGGGAUGUAGAAUUCCAGGUGUAGCGGUGAAAUGCGUAGAUAUCUGGAGGAAUACCGGUGGCGAAGGCGGCAGCCUGGAGCAUUUCUGACGCUGAGGCGCGAAAGCUAGGGGAGCAAACGGG
Molecule: ribosomal RNA, 253 nt
Filed under: uncultured bacterium
Lineage: Bacteria
Description: partial 16S ribosomal RNA
Rfam family: Bacterial small subunit ribosomal RNA
Source: RNAcentral